Molecule: small RNA, 28 nt
Filed under: Bombyx mori (domestic silkworm)
Lineage: Eukaryota; Metazoa; Arthropoda; Insecta; Lepidoptera; Bombycidae
Description: ovarian small RNA-23166
Source: RNAcentral
UAGUUGAUUUUGGUGUUUUUUAAAUAAC